RNAcentral lists this ribosomal RNA (492 nucleotides) under uncultured bacterium. RNAcentral describes it as "partial 16S ribosomal RNA". It matches the Rfam family "Bacterial small subunit ribosomal RNA", at positions 29 to 507 of the family's 1533-position model. The record is from RNAcentral.
AGUGAACGCUGGCGGCAGGCCUAACACAUGCAAGUCGAACGGCAGCACAGAGCGGCCUUGCUCUUACGGGAGGCGAGUCGGGGAGGGGUGUGGUGUCCAUGGAACUGUCCUAUGUCGGGGGGGAAAACCUGGAAACGCUAACUCUAAUACCACAACCUCCCUACAGGAAAAAGUAGGGGAUUUUGGGCCCUUGCCCGCGUGAAUGCGCCGAUGUCGGAUUAGCUAGUUGGUGGGGUAAAGGCCCACCAAGGCGACGAUCCGUAGCUGGUCUGAGAGGAUGAUCAGCCACACUGGAACUGAGACACGGUCCAGACUCCUACGGGAGGCAGCAGUGGGGAAUAUUGGACAAUGGGCGCAAGCCUGAUCCAGCCAUGCCGCGUGUAUGAAGAAGGCCUUCGGGUUGUAAAGCACUUUUGGUGGGAAGGAAGAGAAGAAGGUUAAUACCCCGCCGUACUGACGGUACCCGAAGAAGAAGCACCGGCUAACUUCGUG